UCAUUUAGAGGAAGUAAAAGUCGUAACAAGGUUUCCGUAGGUGAACCUGCGGAAGGAUCAUUACAGUUAUUAGUUCCAGGCCAGCGCUUAAUUGCGCGGCGGGAAAUAAUCCUUACACACUGUGUUUUUUAUAUUCGUGAUAAAUUACUUUGGUUCUGGACCUAGAAAUAGGUUUUUGGGGCCAGAGGUUUACUACCAAAACUUCAAUUUUUUAAUUGAAUUGUUUAUUAUAUUUAUUUUGUCAAUUUGUUUGAUUAAUUUCAAAAAUAAUCUUCAAAACUUUCAACAACGGAUCUCUUGGUUCUCGCAUCGAUGAAGAACGCAGCGAAAUGCGAUAAGUAAUAUGAAUUGCAGAUUUUCGUGAAUCAUCGAAUCUUUGAACGCACAUUGCGCCCUCUGGUAUUCCAUAGGGCAUGCCUGUUUGAGCGUCAUUUCUCUCUCAAACCCCCACGGGUUUGGUAUUGAGUGAUACUCUUAGUCAGACUAGGCGUUUGCUUGAAAAGUAAUGGCAUGAGCGUACUAGAUAGUGCGACUUGAUUUAUUCAAUGUAUUAGGUUUAUCCAACUCGUUGAACAGAUCGGACGUAAAUUUCUGGUAUUGAAAGGCUCGGGCCGUACAACGACCAAACAAGUUUGACCUCAAAUCAGGUAAGAAUACCCGCUGAACUUAAGCAUAUCAAUAAGCGGAGGAAAAGAAACCAACAGGGAUUGCCUCAGUAGCGGCGAGUGAAGCGGCAAUAGCUCAAAUUUGAAAUCUGGCACCUUUGGUGUCCGAGUUGUAAUUUGAAGAAGGUAUCUUUGGGUUUGGCGCUUGUCUAUGUUUCUUGGAACAGGACGUCAUAGAGGGUGAGAAUCCCGUGUGAUGAGCUGCCCAAAUCCGUGUAAAGUUCCUUCGACGAGUCGAGUUGUUUGGGAAUGCAGCUCUAAGUGGGUGGUAAAUUCCAUCUAAAGCUAAAUAUUGGCGAGAGACCGAUAGCGAACAAGUACUGUGAAGGAAAGAUGAAAAGAACUUUGAAAAGAGAGUGAAAAAGUACGUGAAAUUGUUGAAAGGGAAGGGCUUGAGGUCAGACUUGGUUUUACCAGGCCAGCAUCAGUUUGGGUGGUAGGAGAAUGGCGAAGGAAUGUGGCUCGGCUUCGGUCAAGUGUUAUAGCCUUUGUUGAUACUGCCUACCUAGACUGAGGACUGCGUCUUUUGACAAGGAUGCUGGCAUAAUGGCCUUAA
This 1221-nucleotide small RNA is filed under the name Yamadazyma oceani. RNAcentral describes it as "eukaryotic LSU rRNA". The stretch from base 634 to 1221 matches the Rfam family "Eukaryotic large subunit ribosomal RNA", at positions 1 to 643 of the family's 3401-position model. The record is from RNAcentral. Lineage: Eukaryota; Fungi; Ascomycota; Pichiomycetes; Serinales; Debaryomycetaceae.